AAGAAAAGCCCUUUGAAAGCUCCCUUUUUAGAGGAGGGGAGAAAGGAGAAGAAAAGGAAAAGGAAAAAAUAGAUAAUAAAUUUCAGCUAUGAAAAAAAUAGUUAAAGGGAUAAAAAGCGGAGAAGAAUGGCAUUUCAGAGGGGGUAGUGUGUCGAUGAGCAUGCCAGCAGGAAAAGAAGUUCACCCUUAGGGGACUCAGAUGAAGAGACUGAUGAAAGGGCUGUUCAUGGGGCAUGAAGAAGGAUGCCCGGUAAAAGACAGGGGGUGAUACCAUCCUGAGGGCUGAAGGAGCAAAGGAAGAAAGAAAUAGUUUCACAGGAGAGCCCAGUGCCAGUGGGGCCACAGAGGGGAAGCCACUGGAGUUGGGGGGAUAUGGCUCCAGCUAUAGAUACAGGUCUGAAGCCGAGAGGGAGCAGGGGAGGAAAGCCCCUGACCUUUCCUUGUUGCCACUCUCUGCCUUCCUGCUGGUGCCUCCCAUUAACAGAACCCAAAAGGAACCCAGAGAGUGCGGGAGGUGGGAGAAGCAGUCAGAUUUCAGAUAAUGUGAAUGCAGAGCCAAUAGGUUUUGCUGAUUGGAUGUGGGGAGUGAAGGAAAGAAAAGCACCAGGAUGACACCUGGGCUUUUGGCCCGAGCUACUGAUUGAAUAGAGUUGCCAUUAUUGAGACGGGGAUGGCUGGAGAAGAAGCAGGGUCUGGAAGUUAAGAGUAGUUUGGUUUUGGACACGUCUGGUUUGAGAUGCCUAUUAGGCAUACAAGCAGAGAUGAUUAGGAGGAAGACAGUUGUAUGAGUCUGGCACUUAGAGGAGAUAUAAAUUUGAGAUUAAUCUGCAAAUAGAUGACCAUGAGGCUGGUUAAGAUCACCUAGAAAGGGAAUGAUACAAAAGCAAAGAGAGUCAAGGGUACUGUCCCUGUGGUCUUCCAACAUUUAGAGGUCCAGGAGAUCGGACGGAGCCAACAGGAGAGAUGGGCAAGCGUCCAGCAAAGUAGGAAGAAACAGAGAGAGGAUGAACUGAACCCCAAGUGAAGAGAGUACUUCAAGGAAAAAGGAGUACUCAGCAGUAUCACGUGUUAUUGGCUAUGAGACUUGGCAGCACAGAAGGCCCUCGUGACCCUGAGGAGAUGGUUUCAUUGAAGCAGUGGGGACAAAAGCCUGAGAGCAGUGAGUUGUGAGAGAAUGGAGGUGAGGAAGUGAAGACAGCAAAUAACUGUUUCUGUUUUGAAGAAGUUUUGCAGUAAAGAAUGGCUGUAACAGAGGAGAACUCGGCUGGAGAGAAGGUUGCUAACAGGAGACACAGCACGCGUUUUUGCGCCGAUGGGAAUGAUCUCUCAAGCAGGUGAAAAGUGAUGGUGUGAAAGCAGGGGGCACAAGUUCUCGAGCAGGAGGGACGGGACGGGCUCCAGUGACUCUGUGCACCGCGGAGGGUCGUGCCCUCAGGCACAGAGACUGCUGGAGUGAUACAGCAAAGGGAAGAUGGUGUGGACACGGAGGCAGGCGGAUUUGGGGGGAGGAAGAUAAGGUAGAUCUCUCCCGAUUGCCUCUAUUUUCUCAGUCAACUAAGAAGCAGUGUCAUCAGCUGAGAGGGGAGGCCAGCAGAGAGGGUUUCAGAGGGCUGCAGGGAGAGGAGAAAAGUGAGACGGUCCCUCUUGGAGGGAGGAAAAGAUAGCUUACCAUAAACGUGUGCGAUGACUGUCUGACCGCGGUGACAACGAAUCUGACCUGAGACCCGCCAGCAGAGCAGAAUGUCUCCACCUGCUCCGCCCUCCACAGUGAGCGGCUCAGGCACAGUCCUGAAUCCAUGAAGCGCAGCAAAGGAAGGUCGGCAUCUGCCCAUGAAGGAGAGAGCCAGGGUGGCCCGGAGCAGGGUCAGGGCCCAAAUGGAGCAAGGGAGUCAGCACGCAGGAUGGCUGCCCCGCACAGGGGUCCGAGCCGGAGUUGGGUGAGAAGGGUGCACAAGAAGGGGCUGCCACUGGCCAAAUCAGGGAUAAUUGGGGUAUCAAAAUAAAAAUAAUAGUUGUAACCUAUUGAAUAAAAUAGGAAACCAUGAGUCCAGACAGAUUUAAAUAAACGAACGCAUUGAAAGUGUGUGAAGAAAUAUAGUUUCAAAGUACCAAACGGAAUAAGAGAAACUUUGACUGGAAAGCCUGGCAGAUGCCACUUAGUCAGGUGAUCAAAGUGAACUUCAUCAGUAAUGGGACUAAACUGUACAUCACCUGAGAGGAUGCAAGAGAACAUAUCGAUACCUACCGACAGCACGUAAGCGGAAUGUAAUCAGGAAAAAACACCAGACAACACCAAAUUAAGAGACAUUUUACAAUAUAAUUGGUCUGUGAUUCUUAAAAUCGUCAAGAUUGUGAAAGUCACAGAAAGACUUCCAGACCGAAGGCGACAAACAUGACAGCUAAACACAACAUGUUAUUCUGAACCGGAUCCUUUUGCUAUAAAGCACACAAUUAGGAGAGUAUUGGUGAAACAUACAUGGGGCCUGAGAAUGAGAAGUCAGCAAUUAUGUAGUGUUAUUUUGCUGGUUAUUUGGGUUACGUAGGAGAAUGUGCUUGUAGGGAAAUGCACACCAGGCUAUUUCGGGAUGACACAGCAGGUCAGCAACUUACUCCCAAAUCGGUCAGGAAAACAAAAAGUUUUCUGUCCUGAGCUGUACUUGCAACUUUUCUGAAACUUUAU
Long non-coding RNA from Equus caballus (horse), 2680 nucleotides. The record is from Ensembl. NCBI's taxonomy places the organism in Eukaryota, Metazoa, Chordata, Mammalia, Perissodactyla, Equidae.